GAGCUGAAUAUGCUCAGGCGCUUGAGAGAACUCGGGAGAAGGAACUCGGCAAAUUGACACCGUAACUUCGGAAGAAGGUGUGCCGUAGUACCGUGAGAGGAGAGACACCUUGAGCGGGAAACGGUCUCAGAGAAUAGGUGGCUGCGACUGUUUAUUAAAAACACAGCACUCUGCAAAGUCGAAAGACGACGUAUAGGGUGUGAUGCCUGCCCGGUGCUGGAAGAUUAAUUGAUGGGGUGAGAGCCCUUGAUCGAAGUCCCAGUAAACGGCGGCCGUAACUAUAACGGUCCUAAGGUAGCGAAAUUCCUUGUCGGGUAAGUUCCGACCUGCACGAAUGGCAUAACGAUGGCCACACUGUCUCCUCCCGAGACUCAGUGAAGUUGAAAUGUUUGUGAUGAUGCAAUCUACCCGCGGCUAGACGGAAAGACCCCAUGAACCUUUACUGCAGCUUUGCAUUGAACUGUGAACCGAUUUGUGUAGGAUAGGUGGGAGGCAGAGAAGAGGCCACGCCAGUGGCCUUGGAGCCGACCUUGAAAUACCACCCUGAUUUGUUUGCGGUUCUAACCACGGACAGUGAUCCUGUCUUGGGACCGUGCAUGGUAGGCAGUUUGACUGGGGCGGUCUCCUCCUAAAGGGUAACGGAGGAGUACGAAGGUACGCUAGGUACGGUCGGAAAUCGUGCUGAUAGUGCAAUGGCAAAAGCGUGCUUGACUGCGAGAGCAACAACUCGAGCAGAUGCGAAAGCAGGUCAUAGUGAUCCGGUGGCUCUGAAUGGAAGGGCCAUCGCUCAACGGAUAAAAGGUACUCUGGGGAUAACAGGCUGAUACCGCCCAAGAGUUCAUAUCGACGGCGGUGUUUGGCACCUCGAUGUCGGCUCAUCUCAUCCUGGGGCUGUAGUCGGUCCCAAGGGUAUGGCUGUUCGCCAUUUAAAGAGGUACGUGAGCUGGGUUUAAAACGUCGUGAGACAGUUUGGUCCCUAUCUGCCGUGGGCGUUGGAAGAUUGACGGGGGCUGCUCCUAGUACGAGAGGACCGGAGUGGACGCACCUCUGGUGUACCGGUUGUCACGCCAGUGGCAUUGCCGGGUAGCUAAGUGCGGAAGAGAUAACCGCUGAAAGCAUCUAAGCGGGAAACUUGCCUGAAGAUGAGUCUUCCCGGAGGUUGAACCUCCCUCAAGAGUCGUCCGAGACCAGGACGUCGAUAGGUCAGGUGUGUAAGCGCUGUAAGGCGUUGAGCUAACUGAUACUAAUUGCUCGUGAGGCUUGAUCCU
This 1268-nucleotide ribosomal RNA is filed under the name human gut metagenome. RNAcentral describes it as "bacterial LSU rRNA". It matches the Rfam family "Bacterial large subunit ribosomal RNA", at positions 1669 to 2925 of the family's 2925-position model. The record is from RNAcentral.